Molecule: ribosomal RNA, 478 nt
Filed under: uncultured bacterium
Lineage: Bacteria
Description: partial 16S ribosomal RNA
Rfam family: Bacterial small subunit ribosomal RNA
Source: RNAcentral
GAUGAACGCUGGCGGCGUGCCUAACACAUGCAAGUCGAACGGAGUCCAGCCUUUAAGACCUUCGGGUCAAUGAGGGGAAGACUGAGUGGCGGACGGGUGAGUAACACGUGGGCAACCUGGCUCAUAGAGGGGGAUAACAGAGAGAAAUUUCUGCUAAUACCGCAUAAGCACACACUGCCGCAUGGCAGAGGGUGAAAAGAGAAUCGCUAUGAGAUGGACCCGCGUCUGAUUAGCCAGUUGGCAGGGUAAGAGCCUACCAAAGCGACGAUCAGUAGCCGAUCUGAGAGGAUGAACGGCCACAUUGGGACUGAGACACGGCACAAACUCCUACGGGAGGCAGCAGUGGGGGAUAUUGCACAAUGGGGGGAACCCUGAUGCAGCGACGCCGCGUGAGUGAAGAAGUAUUUCGGUAUGUAAAGCUCUAUCAGCAGGGAAGAUAAUGACAGUACCUGAAUAAGAAGCCCCGGCUAACUACGUG